This 648-nucleotide ribosomal RNA is filed under the name uncultured bacterium. Its description in RNAcentral is "bacterial SSU rRNA". It matches the Rfam family "Bacterial small subunit ribosomal RNA", at positions 56 to 702 of the family's 1533-position model. The record is from RNAcentral.
UGCAGUCGAACGGUAACAGAACUAGCUUGCUAGUUGCUGACGAGUGGCGGACGGGUGAGUAAUACUUAGGGAUCUGCCUCUGUGUGGGGGAUAACUAUUGGAAACGAUAGCUAAUACCGCAUAACGUCUACGGACCAAAGAGGGCUUCGGCUCUCGCGCAGAGAGGAACCUAAGCGAGAUUAGCUUGUUGGUGGGGUAAAGGCUCACCAAGGCGACGAUCUCUAGCUGUUCUGAGAGGAAGAUCAGCCACACUGGAACUGAGACACGGUCCAGACUCCUACGGGAGGCAGCAGUGGGGAAUAUUGCACAAUGGGGGCAACCCUGAUGCAGCCAUGCCGCGUGUGUGAAGAAGGCCUUCGGGUUGUAAAGCACUUUCAGUUGUGAGGAAAGGUUAGUAGUUAAUACCUGCUAGCUGUGACGUUAACAACAGAAGAAGCACCGGCUAACUCCGUGCCAGCAGCCGCGGUAAUACGGAGGGUGCAAGCGUUAAUCGGAAUUACUGGGCGUAAAGCGCACGCAGGCGGUCUGUUAAGCUAGAUGUGAAAGCCCCGCGCUCAACGUGGGAGGGUCAUUUAGAACUGGCAGACUAGAGUCUUGGAGAGGGGAGUGGAAUUCCAGGUGUAGCGGUGAAAUGCGUAGAGAUCUGGA